Molecule: ribosomal RNA, 926 nt
Filed under: uncultured Bacteroidota bacterium
Lineage: Bacteria; Pseudomonadati; Bacteroidota
Description: bacterial SSU rRNA
Rfam family: Bacterial small subunit ribosomal RNA
Source: RNAcentral
UGGAUCCAGACUUUGAUUCUGGCUCAGGAUGAACGCUAGCUACAGGCUUAACACAUGCAAGUCGAGGGGAAACGACAUUGAAAGCUUGCUUUCGAUGGGCGUCGACCGGCGCACGGGUGAGUAACGCGUAUCCAACCUGCCCAUCACUUGGGGAUAACCUUGCGAAAGUAAGACUAAUACCCAAUGACGUCUCUAGAAGACAUCUGAAAGAGAUUAAAGGUUUAUCGGUGAUGGAUGGGGAUGCGUCUGAUUAGCUUGUUGGCGGGGUAACGGCCCACCAAGGCGACGAUCAGUAGGGGUUCUGAGAGGAAGGUCCCCCACAUUGGAACUGAGACACGGUCCAAACUCCUACGGGAGGCAGCAGUGAGGAAUAUUGGUCAAUGGACGAGAGUCUGAACCAGCCAAGUAGCGUGCAGGAUGACGGCCCUAUGGGUUGUAAACUGCUUUUAUAAGGGAAUAAAGUGAGUCUCGUGAGGCUUUUUGCAUGUACCUUAUGAAUAAGGACCGGCUAAUUCCGUGCCAGCAGCCGCGGUAAUACGGAAGGUCCGGGCGUUAUCCGGAUUUAUUGGGUUUAAAGGGAGCGUAGGCCGGAGAUUAAGCGUGUUGUGAAAUGUAGAUGCUCAACAUCUGCACUGCAGCGCGAACUGGUUUCCUUGAGUACGCACAAAGUGGGCGGAAUUCGUGGUGUAGCGGUGAAAUGCUUAGAUAUCACGAAGAACUCCGAUUGCGAAGGCAGCUCACUGGAGCGCAACUGACGCUGAAGCUCGAAAGUGCGGGUAUCGAACAGGAUUAGAUACCCUGGUAGUCCGCACGGUAAACGAUGGAUGCCCGCUGUUGGUCUGAAUAGGUCAGCGGCCAAGCGAAAGCAUUAAGCAUCCCACCUGGGGAGUACGCCGGCAACGGUGCAACUCAAAGGAAUUGACGGA